This 279-nucleotide ribosomal RNA is filed under the name uncultured bacterium. RNAcentral's name for it is "partial 16S ribosomal RNA". It matches the Rfam family "Bacterial small subunit ribosomal RNA", at positions 506 to 784 of the family's 1533-position model. The record is from RNAcentral.
UGCCAGCAGCCGCGGUAAUACAGAGGUCUCAAGCGUUGUUCGGAUUCAUUGGGCGUAAAGGGCGCGUAGGCGGCUUGACAAGUCAAAGGUGAAAUCCCUCGGCUCAACUGAGGAACUGCCUUUGAAACUGUCUGGCUUGAGGCCGGGAGGGGGUAGCGGAAUUCCCAGUGUAGCGGUUAAAUGCGUAGAUACUGGGAGGAACACCAGUGGCGAAGGCGGCUACCUGGACCGGUUCUGACGCUGAGGCGCGAAAGCGUGGGUAGCAAACAGGAUUAGAUA